Molecule: long non-coding RNA, 1801 nt
Organism: Dioscorea cayenensis subsp. rotundata (Guinea yam)
Lineage: Eukaryota; Viridiplantae; Streptophyta; Magnoliopsida; Dioscoreales; Dioscoreaceae
Exons: 4
Source: RefSeq, a predicted model, not a curated record
ACAUCGUCCGCGCGUUCUCUGGUUUCCAUACUUAAGAUGCCUCACUUUGUUCUCGCUCUCAAGCUUCGCUUCUUUUUCUCCCUUUUCGUUCUCCAUGAACCCUAGUGGCGCUACUACUCCCUUCUGAGAUUUGGAGGCUGAAAUGGUAUUCAAGGUCUCAUGGAUUCCUUCGUCUCCAAAAAUCAGGAGAAUGAGUGGUUUUAGGGUUUGAUCAAGAGUGGAAAGGAGACAUGAAGCGGAGGAAAAUCUUUGGCGAUGCUCUUGCUAAGCUUCUGCAUUGCGAGUUUGGUUUUGAUCCAAGGGAUUUACAGUUUCGCAUCAGAUGUAAUGAGGUGAUACCAGCAUGAUUGAAGCAGAGCAUCUUUUGCUUAGAAAUACACUGAAGGAUCCAUUUGAUGAUAGAUUUGCUUUUGUAUAUGAUAGGAGAUCACCACCAGAGUUUUCACAGCAUCAUCUUAUUGUAAGUAUUUGUUUUUCAUUGAACCACUCACCUUGAAUCUCUUGUUACAUUAAAGUUACAUGAAGAAAAUUUAUUUUAAUUCAAGAUUCAUGUGCUGCUAGCUAUGCACAUUAUAGCCUAUUUUGUUACAUUUUAAAUUAGUUCAAAUAAUUGUAAAUUUGUAAUGUGGUCUCUAAUUGACUAAAUUUGUCUACUUAUUUUUCAUGUAAGAUUUCUUUUGUGAUUAGACAUGUAAAAUAUCUGAUUUGUGCUUUAUUCAUUUUUAUAUACAAAUUGGGCCAUAUUUAUUACCACCUAUUUAUUUUGUUUCGACCCAUUAAAAAUAAAAAAAUCUUUAAAAAUUGUUUAUUGAGUUCAUUCUAUUGGUUUUAAGAAAAUAUUUUAUUUUUUAGCUUGUUUAGAAAAAUACUGACAAACAUAAGUUUGUAUUUUUUUAAUUAGUCCAAUUCUGGUAUUGUUCAAUUUAGUAGGAUUUGUUACAAGAGACAACAAUUUUUAUAUAUAUAUAUAUAUGCCUCAUUAAGUUAUUAUUUUUCUUAAUUUUAUUGAGGUCAUGCUUAAAUUUUAUAUUUGUUAGUAUUGAAAAUCUAUCUUACAACAUGUGUUGAUUUUAUGGUUUAUUUGGGUUUAGAUAAUUUUUUUAUUUAAAUUGUACAGACAGUAUUCAUUGGACUAUAUUUACAGUAUUUAUGUAAAUAUAUACUUAACACAAACAAUAGUUCGUUAUAUAUUUACUAAGAAUUAAUACUUUUAUGCCCCAUUCAAACAUGUGUCUGUGCAUGCAGGUGCGCGUGUGAUCAUGUUUUUUUUUUUUCUAAAUAAAUUUCUAUUAAAUAUUGACUUUGGGAUUAUAUGAGACCAAUAUUUGUAUUUGGGUGUGGGAAUAAAAUAUGAAAACAGUUCAAAUAUUUUGUUCAAACAUUUUUUCUUGUUUUUAUUUUAAAAAAAUUGUUUUAUAAAUCAUGUUUUUCAGGAAUAAAACAUAAAGAGUUUUUGAAAAAUCAUUUCAAAACAAACAGGCCCUUACAUCUGCACUUUCAAUUUUCGUAAGGGUUUUCUAUAUUUAAUAGGACCAAGGGUGUUUUAGCCUCAGAGUGGGUUCAUUUUAGGUUUCACUCUCUUCAUAAGGUAUGGUUCUCUCCUGAACUUUUUUGAAGAGAAAGAUAGGCCCAUUGGCAUGGCUUAGUCAAUUCGAUGUCCAAUGAAUUCGACUAUACUAAUUGUGAUUUUUAUCCGUAUUUUUGUACAAUUUAAAUUUGCAUUAGUAAAUUCUAGAAAAGGAACAUUGUAUUUUUUUGGUAGUAGCUUAAGGUGUGUAAUGCCUUACAAAAUUGUAGUUUG